This 192-nucleotide non-coding RNA is filed under the name Neobacillus vireti. RNAcentral's name for it is "Bacillus vireti Lysine sequence". It matches the Rfam family "Lysine riboswitch aptamer". Rfam says of the family: Riboswitches are metabolite binding domains within certain messenger RNAs that serve as precision sensors for their corresponding targets. Allosteric rearrangement of mRNA structure is mediated by ligand binding, and this results in modulation of gene expression. The record is from RNAcentral. RNAcentral also lists the same sequence under 1 other name. Lineage: Bacteria; Bacillati; Bacillota; Bacilli; Caryophanales; Bacillaceae.
CGAUGAGGUAGAGGUCGCGGUUUUUAUCAGUAAAGCGGACGAGAUGGAAGAGACAUCCCUGACUCCGUUUGAAAGGAAAAACUGCCGAAGUGUGUUUUUCAUCUCUAGAAAAGCAUGCUGGGACUGUCUCCAAAUAGGAACAGAACUGUCACGUGAGGCUUUACCAGCCGAGCGUGUUGAGCUAUCUUUCGG